CCUACGGGUGGCAGCAGUGAGGAAUAUUGGUCAAUGGACGAGAGUCUGAACCAGCCAAGUAGCGUGAAGGAUGACUGCUCUAUGGGUUGUAAACCUCUUUUAUAUGGGAAUAAAAUGUUCCACGUGUGGGAUUUUGUAUGUACCAUAUGAAUAAGGAUCGGCUAACUCCGUGCCAGCAGCCGCGGUAAUACGGAGGAUCCGAGCGUUAUCCGGAUUUAUUGGGUUUAAAGGGCGCGGAGGUGGAUUGUUAAGUCAGUUGUGAAAGUUUGCGGCUCAACCGUAAAUUGGCAGUUGAAACUGGCAGUCUUGAGUACAGUAGAGGUGGGCGGAAUUCGUGGUGUAGCGGUGAAAUGCUUAGAUAUCACGAAGAACUCCGAUUGCGAAGGCAGUUCACUGGACUGCAACUGACACUGAGGCUCGAAAGUGUGGGUAUCAAACAGGAUUAGAUACCCUUGUAGUC
RNAcentral lists this ribosomal RNA (460 nucleotides) under uncultured bacterium. RNAcentral's name for it is "partial 16S ribosomal RNA". It matches the Rfam family "Bacterial small subunit ribosomal RNA", at positions 338 to 795 of the family's 1533-position model. The record is from RNAcentral.